UACGUAGGGUGCGAGCGUUGUCCGGAAUUAUUGGGCGUAAAGAGCUUGUAGGUGGUUUGUCGCGUCUGCUGUGAAAAUCCGAGGCUCAACCUCGGACUUGCAGUGGGUACGGGCAGACUAGAGUGUGGUAGGGGAGACUGGAAUUCCUGGUGUAGCGGUGAAAUGCGCAGAUAUCAGGAGGAACACCGAUGGCGAAGGCAGGUCUCUGGACCGAUACUGACGCUGAGGAGCGAAAGCGUGGGGAGCGAACAGG
RNAcentral lists this ribosomal RNA (253 nucleotides) under uncultured bacterium. RNAcentral describes it as "partial 16S ribosomal RNA". It matches the Rfam family "Bacterial small subunit ribosomal RNA", at positions 524 to 776 of the family's 1533-position model. The record is from RNAcentral.